Molecule: ribosomal RNA, 496 nt
Filed under: uncultured bacterium
Lineage: Bacteria
Description: partial 16S ribosomal RNA
Rfam family: Bacterial small subunit ribosomal RNA
Source: RNAcentral
GAUGAACGCUAGCGGCAGGCCUAACACAUGCAAGUCGAGGGGUAGAGGUUGCUUGCAACCUUGAGACCGGCGCACGGGUGCGUAACGCGUAUGCAAUCUGCCUUGUACUGAGGGAUAGCCCAGAGAAAUUUGGAUUAAUACCUCAUAGUAUCUUUUCCCGGCAUCGGGAGAUUAUUAAAGUUCCAACGGUACAAGAUGAGCAUGCGUCCCAUUAGCUAGUUGGUAUGGUGACGGCAUACCAAGGCAAUGAUGGGUAGGGGUCCUGAGAGGGAGAUCCCCCACACGGGUACUGAGACACGGACCAGACUCCUACGGGGGGCAGCAGUGAGGAAUAUUGGUCAAUGGGCGCAAGCCUGAACCAGCCAUGCCGCGUGCAGGAUGAAGCAUCUAUGGUGUGUAAACUGCUUUUAUACGGGAAGAAACACCGGUUCGUGAACCGGCUUGACGGUACCGUAAGAAUAAGGAUCGGCUAACUCCGUGCCAGCCGCCGCCGUAA